GACGGAGGGAGCUAGCGUUGUUCGGAAUGACUGGGCGUAAAGGGCGCGUAGGCGGUUUUUUAAGUGAGGCGUGAAAGCCCUGGGCUUAACCCAGGAGGUGCGCUUCAGACUGGAAAGCUUGAGGACGAGAGAGGAAAGUGGAAUUCCUAGUGUAGAGGUGAAAUUCGUAGAUAUUAGGAAGAACACCAGUGGCGAAGGCGGCUCACUGGCCCGGUACUGACGCUGAGGCGCGAAAGCGUGGGGAGCAAACAGG
RNAcentral lists this ribosomal RNA (253 nucleotides) under uncultured bacterium. Its description in RNAcentral is "partial 16S ribosomal RNA". It matches the Rfam family "Bacterial small subunit ribosomal RNA", at positions 524 to 776 of the family's 1533-position model. The record is from RNAcentral.